GUAACAAGGUUUCCGUAGGUGAACCUGCGGAAGGAUCAUUACAGAGUUCAUGCCCGAAAGGGUAGACCUCCCACCCUUGUGUAUUAUUACUUUGUUGCUUUGGCGAGCUGCCUUCGGGCCUUGUAUGCUCGCCAGAGAAAACCAAAACUCUUUUUAUUAAUGUCGUCUGAGUACUAUAUAAUAGUUAAAACUUUCAACAACGGAUCUCUUGGUUCUGGCAUCGAUGAAGAACGCAGCGAAAUGCGAUAAGUAAUGUGAAUUGCAGAAUUCAGUGAAUCAUCGAAUCUUUGAACGCACAUUGCGCCCCUUGGUAUUCCGGGGGGCAUGCCUGUUCGAGCGUCAUUUCAACCCUCAAGCUUAGCUUGGUAUUGAGUCUAUGUCAGUAAUGGCAGGCUCUAAAAUCAGUGGCGGCGCCGCUGGGUCCUGAACGUAGUAAUAUCUCUCGUUACAGGUUCUCGGUGUGCUUCUGCCAAAACCCAAAUUUUUCUAUGGUUGACCUCGGAUCAGGUAGGGAUACCCGCUGAACUUAAGCAUAUC
Molecule: unclassified non-coding RNA, 537 nt
Filed under: Botrytis byssoidea
Lineage: Eukaryota; Fungi; Ascomycota; Leotiomycetes; Helotiales; Sclerotiniaceae
Description: sequence contains 18S rRNA gene, ITS1, 5.8S rRNA gene, ITS2, 28S rRNA gene
Rfam family: 5.8S ribosomal RNA (bases 189-342)
Source: RNAcentral